RNAcentral lists this ribosomal RNA (944 nucleotides) under uncultured archaeon. RNAcentral's name for it is "bacterial SSU rRNA". It matches the Rfam family "Archaeal small subunit ribosomal RNA", at positions 1 to 922 of the family's 1478-position model. The record is from RNAcentral.
UUCCGGUUGAUCCUGCCGGACCCGACCGCUAUCGGGGUGGGGCUAAGCCAUGCGAGUCGUGCGCCCCGGGCCAUGGCGGGGCGCGGCGCACGGCUCAGUAACACGUGGCCAACCUACCCUCGGGACGGGGAUAACCCCGGGAAACUGGGGCUAAUACCCGAUAGGCGAUGGCUCCUGGAAUGGGCCAUCGCCUAAAGGGAUCUGGGACCAUGCCUCCCAGAUCCGCCCGAGGAUGGGGCUGCGGCCCAUCAGGUAGUUGGCGGGGUAACGGCCCGCCAAGCCGAUAACGGGUACGGGCCGUGAGAGCGGGAGCCCGGAGAUGGGCCCUGAGACAAGGGCCCAGGCCCUACGGGGCGCAGCAGGCGCGAAACCUCCGCUAUGCGGGAAACCGCGACGGGGUCACCCCGAGUGCCGCCCGAAGAGGGCGGCUUUUCCCCAGUGUAACAAGCUGGGGGCAAUAAGCGGGGGGCAAGUCUGGUGUCAGCCGCCGCGGUAAUACCAGCCCCGCGAGUGGUCGGGACGCUUAUUGGGCUUAAAGCGUCCGUAGCCGGUCCAGCAAGUCCCUCCUUAAAUCCCACGGCUCAACCGUGGGGCUGGGAGGGAUACUGCUGGACUAGGGGGCGGGAGAGGCCGAGGGUACUCCCGGGGUAGGGGCGAAAUCCUAUAAUCCCGGGAGGACCACCAGUGGCGAAGGCGCUCGGCCAGAACGCGCCCGACGGUGAGGGACGAAAGCUGGGGGAGCAAAGGGGAUUAGAUACCCCCGUAGUCCCAGCUGUAAACGAUGCGGGCUAGGUGUUGGGCGGACUUCGAGUCCGCCCAGUGCCGCAGGGAAACCAUUAAGCCCGCCGCCUGGGGAGUACGGCCGCAAGGCUGAAACUUAAAGGAAUUGGCGGGGGAGCACCACAAGGGGUGAAUGCUGCGGUUUAAUUGGAUUCAACGCCGGA